GAUGAACGCUAGCGGCAGGCUUAACACAUGCAAGUCGAGGGGUAACAUUGGUGCUUGCACCAGAUGACGACCGGCGCACGGGUGCGUAACGCGUAUAGAAUCUACCUUAUACUGGGGAAUAGCCUUUGGAAACGAAGAUUAAUGCCCCAUAGUAAGUAUUUAUGGCAUCAUUUAUACUUUAAAGCUCCGGUGGUAUAAGAUGACUAUGCGUUCUAUUAGUUAGUUGGUAAGGUAACGGCUUACCAAGACAUCGAUAGAUAGGGGUCCUGAGAGGGAGAUCCCCCACACUGGUACUGAGACACGGACCAGACUCCUACGGGAGGCAGCAGUGAGGAAUAUUGGACAAUGGAGGCAACUCUGAUCCAGCCAUGCCGCGUGCAGGAAGACGGCCCUAUGGGUUGUAAACUGCUUUUAUAUGGGAAGAAUAAGGAGUAUGUAUACUCUGAUGACGGUACCAUAAGAAUAAGCACCGGCUAACUCCG
RNAcentral lists this ribosomal RNA (482 nucleotides) under uncultured Flavobacteriaceae bacterium. RNAcentral's name for it is "bacterial SSU rRNA". It matches the Rfam family "Bacterial small subunit ribosomal RNA", at positions 28 to 505 of the family's 1533-position model. The record is from RNAcentral. Lineage: Bacteria; Pseudomonadati; Bacteroidota; Flavobacteriia; Flavobacteriales; Flavobacteriaceae.